AUACCCCACACUGCCCCCAAUAAAAUAUGACAAUACUGCUUCUGCCACUUGUGCUGCUUGCGGACCUGAGGUGACUCCAGCACUCAGCAUGGUGAACAGAAAGCUCAAGGAAGGGUCAGAACUGCUCAUAUUAAUUUUAGGGUGGUGGGCAGGAUGGUUCCUUGGUGCAAUUUAAGAUUAACAGGCAUACACCACUUAGUAAACUAAUGAAAGCCUAUUGUGAAUAGCAAGGCUUGUCAAUGAGGCGGAUCAGAUUCCAAUUUGUCAGAUGGCCAAUCAAUGAAACAGACACACCUGCAGAGUUGGAAGUGGAGGUUAAAGAUACAAUUGAUGUGUUUCAGCAGCAGGCAGGAGGGGUCCAGUAAAAAGAGAACUUGCUAUUUUACGCCAGAGGCUAUUCUUACAGACCAAGACUGCAUUCUCAACUAAAAAACUGCAAUCUGGUUCCACUACAUCCUAACUAUUACAGUAUAGUUUGCUCUAUUCUUUCAUUUCCUUCCCCAUUCCUU
RNAcentral lists this long non-coding RNA (509 nucleotides) under Homo sapiens (human). RNAcentral describes it as "novel transcript". The record is from RNAcentral. Lineage: Eukaryota; Metazoa; Chordata; Mammalia; Primates; Hominidae.